AGAAGGAGAACUCCGCUCACUCUGAAGAUCAGGGAACAUCUGGCCUUGUAGGGUGAAUUCCAUUGAAUAACAACGUGUUCCUUUGAAAAAAGAUACUUUCUCCCCGUAGAAGAGGGAGGAUUUUAAGGCCUGUCUACACUAGCAUGGUUGGCGUUCUAAUUAAAGAAAAGGGCAGGUAGAAAAGAGAGGAAACGGAACAAGAUCCCAUCUUCUCAACAUAUGGAAAUUAAGAUGAAAGGCAUUCAUCCUGUGGGGGGGAAGCUUGAUUUAUUUCAGGUUUUACCAGGGAGGCUGUAGAACUAAGGUCAGGAGACAACAGGUUUAUUCACUGUUGACACACGGGUAGGUACCGGUGCACUAACUGUAAGCGGGGUACCAAUCUGACCUUCAAUUAGACGUCUUCACAGCACUCUUCAAAUUAAUCCCCCUACAAGCAAAAUAAAAGGACUCCCCUUA
Mauremys reevesii (Reeves's turtle) is the source of this 456-nucleotide long non-coding RNA. RefSeq lists it as uncharacterized. The record is from RefSeq and is a predicted model, not a curated record. Lineage: Eukaryota; Metazoa; Chordata; Testudines; Geoemydidae. The transcript is spliced from 3 exons.